AAAUAUUGCUUUGUUUUUGUUGUCUUAGCCAAGAAAACUUUUCUUGGACAAAAUAAAUCUUUCUGGGGGCCUCUAGAACUGGUAGAAAAGCUUGUUCCAGAAGCUGCAGAGAUAACAGCAAGUGUUAAAGAUCUUCCGGGACUUAAGACACCAGUAGGCAGAGGAAGAGCCUGGCUUCGUUUGGCAUUAAUGCAAAAGAAACUUUCAGAAUAUAUGAAAGCUUUGAUCAAUAAGAAGGAACUUCUCAGUGAAUUCUAUGAACCCAAUGCCCUCAUGAUGGAAGAAGAAGGAGCCAUAAUUGCUGGUCUGUUGGUGGGUCUGAAUGUCAUUGAUGCCAAUUUCUGUAUGAAAGGAGAUUUGGACUCUCAGGUUGGAGUUAUAGAUUUUUCAAUGUAUCUGAAGGAUGGGAACAGCAGUAAAGGUAGUGAAGGAGAUGGCCAGAUUACUGCAAUUCUGGACCAGAAGAACUAUGUAGAAGAACUCAACAGACAUCUGAAUGCGACUGUAAACAAUCUUCAGGCAAAAGUAGAUGCAUUAGAAAAAUCCAACACUAAACUGACAGAGGAGCUUGCAGUUGCAAACAACAGGAUUAUUACCUUGCAAGAAGAAAUGGAACGAGUUAAAGAGGAAAGCUCCUACAUAUUGGAAUCCAAUCGGAAGGGUCCUAAGCAAGACAGAACUUCAGAAGGACAAGCACUAAGUGAAGCAAGAAAGCAUUUAAAGGAGGAGACUCAAUUACGAUUGGAUGUUGAAAAAGAACUGGAGAUCCAGAUCAGCAUGAGACAGGAGAUGGAGUUGGCUACGAAGAUGCAAGAGAAGGAUGUCUGUGAGAAGCAGGAUGCUCUGGUGUCUCUGCGACAGCAGCUAGAUGACCUCAGGGCUCUCAAGCAUGAACUUGCCUUUAAGCUACAGAGUUCAGACUUAGGAGUAAAACAGAAAAGUGAACUAAACAGUCGUUUGGAAGAGAAGACUAAUCAGAUGGCUGCUACCAUUAAACAACUUGAACAAAGAUUGCGCCAGGCUGAGCGAGACCGCCAGUCUGCUGAGUUGGACAACCGGCUCUUCAAACAGGACUUCGGAGACAAGAUCAACAGUCUGCAGCUGGAAGUGGAAGAGCUCACCAGGCAGCGGUGAAGAGAGGACAUCUUGAGCUGACAGGGUGGUCAUGGGUAAUUCUAAGGCUAGACAGAAAGAGAAGGAGGGGUCUCAUGAUGUCCAGUCAUCUCAACAAUGUCUUUGCAAUGUCCUUUCUCUGGAAUUGGAACUCAGAAAUUUUCACAUACAUCAAUAUUCCCAAAAUUCCGUCAACAUCCUUUGUGAUCAAAGAAUUAGGAAAUUAGAGCCCAAGGUCCCAGAUAAAUAGUAAUUAAUAGCCAACACAACACUAAUAAUAAUAUUAGCCAUUUCCUGAAUUCUUACUGUAUGCCAGAUACUUUACAAAGUCCUUCACAUGCAAUCUCCUAAUAUCUUCACAUCAACCCUAUUAGUAGGGGAUAUUAUUUCCCCCACUUUCAGAUGAAAUUAAAGCAUAGAGGGGUUUAAUGUGUCCAGAUGCACACAGUGAAGCUAAUAAGUGGCAAAAUUAUCAUUUAAAAACCUGUUUAACUCUAAGCCCUUAACUAUUCUUCUAUAUUAUCACUCAAAUGAGACUCAUUUCUGUGCUGAAACCACUGACUUCAAAUAGAACUUUGUUUGGACAUAAAGCACAUAGCUACUAAAGACACUAAUGAUUGAUGGUGUAACUGGGGAUUGAAUACAUAACUGUAAAGAAAGACCAGCUAAUUAAUAUGAAGUGAAACUAUAUCUGAUCUUUCAUACUAUAUGUUGCCGAAAAUUUAUAAAUACUGUCUUUUAGUUAUA
Galeopterus variegatus (Sunda flying lemur) is the source of this 1860-nucleotide RNA transcript. It is a transcript of the gene named protein RUFY3 pseudogene, with no coding region annotated. The transcript has a single exon. The record is from RefSeq and is a predicted model, not a curated record. NCBI's taxonomy places the organism in Eukaryota, Metazoa, Chordata, Mammalia, Dermoptera, Cynocephalidae.